RNAcentral lists this ribosomal RNA (497 nucleotides) under uncultured bacterium. Its description in RNAcentral is "partial 16S ribosomal RNA". It matches the Rfam family "Bacterial small subunit ribosomal RNA", at positions 28 to 507 of the family's 1533-position model. The record is from RNAcentral.
GACGAACGCUGGCGGCGUGCCUAAUACAUGCAAGUUGAGCGCUGAAGGUUGGUACUUGUACCAACUGGAUGAGCAGCGAACGGGUGAGUAACGCGUGGGGAAUCUGCCUUUGAGCGGGGGACAACAUUUGGAAACGAAUGCUAAUACCGCAUAAAAACUUUAAACACAAGUUUUAAGUUUGAAAGAUGCAAUUGCAUCACUCAAAGAUGAUCCCGCGUUGUAUUAGCUAGUUGGUGAGGUAAAGGCUCACCAAGGCGAUGAUACAUAGCCGACCUGAGAGGGUGAUCGGCCACAAUGGGACUGAGACCCGGCCCAAACUCCUACGGGAGGCAGCAGUAGGGAAUCUUCGGCAAUGGACGAAAGUCUGACCGAGCAACGCCGCGUGAGUGAAGAAGGUUUUCGGAUCGUAAAACUCUGUUGGUAGAGAAGAACGUUGGUGAGAGUGGAAAGCUCAUCAAGUGACGGUAACUACCCAGAAAGGGACGGCUAACUACGUG